Molecule: long non-coding RNA, 353 nt
Organism: Acomys russatus (golden spiny mouse)
Lineage: Eukaryota; Metazoa; Chordata; Mammalia; Rodentia; Muridae
Exons: 3
Source: RefSeq, a predicted model, not a curated record
AUUGUAUGUGCUAUCACACAUUCUGAAAAUGUUUGACCAAUUUCCAGAAGGGCUCAGUUAAAGGAAGAUUUUGAUCUGGCGAGUCUUUCCUUUCUCAAUGAAGAUGGCAUUGUAGCUAAGAACAAGUUUUUAUUGAACAGUACAGUGAGAAUUCUCAUGUGUGUGUGCUGGAGCUUAAGGAAUGCCAUUAAACCAGAGACUUCUCAAAUUUUGCUGAUUUUUCUAUAUUGACAGUAAGGCCUUAUUGCUGAGACACCAGAUACUUGAGUUAUAGCAUAUGGAGACAUCACGAAUAUGGAAACUUCAUUUCUCAAGGUUCAGGAUGUGGGAAAGUGAUAUGCAAGCUUCUGAAG